This 438-nucleotide long non-coding RNA is filed under the name Felis catus (domestic cat). Its description in RNAcentral is "lncRNA (ENSFCAG00000042203.2)". Lineage: Eukaryota; Metazoa; Chordata; Mammalia; Carnivora; Felidae. The record is from RNAcentral.
ACCGAAAUCAAGAGUUGGAAGCUUAACCGACUGACCCACCCAGGUGCCCCGGGAAGGGCAUUUUAAAGCCUUCAGUAGAGCAAGAAAGUGGGACCGGAUGAACUCUGAGGACCACGCGAGACCCAUGAUGACCACAAAGGUCUGUAGCGAGGUGGCCCCGAGAGCGAGGUCUCCCUGCUCCCCUUGUUGUACCGCAGGCGAAAGCGGAAAUUGGAAGGCAAGCCCUGUAAUGGCGAGGACUUGAAAAUUGCUUCUAAUUUCCAAGUGUGUGGCAGAGAGAGGGACAGGUGCGUGAUGAUUACUGUGUGAUUCUGCCGCUUUGUAGGAAAAUUAAUCCCGAGGUACUUCUUUUAAAAGUACUUUCUCAAGGUUGUGAACUUGAUUUUUCUCCACCAACACCUUGUAUUUAUUUUGAAUACUUCUUGGGACUUUUUACAU